UCGGGAAUUUUGGGCAAUGGGCGAAAGCCUGACCCAGCAACGCCGCGUGAAGGAUGAAGUAUUUCGGUAUGUAAACUUCGUAAGAAUAGGAAGAAUUAAUGACGGUACUAUUUGUAAGGUCCGGCUAACUACGUGCCAGCAGCCGCGGUAAUACGUAGGGACCAAGCGUUGUUCGGAUUUACUGGGCGUAAAGGGCGCGUAGGCGGCGUGACAAGUCACUUGUGAAAUCUCCGGGCUUAACUCGGAACGGCCAAGUGAUACUGUCGUGCUAGAGUGCAGAAGGGGCAAUCGGAAUUCUUGGUGUAGCGGUGAAAUGCGUAGAUAUCAAGAGGAACACCUGAGGCGAAGGCGGGUUGCUAGGCUGACACUGACGCUGAUGCGCGAAAGCCAGGGGAGCAAACGGG
Molecule: ribosomal RNA, 404 nt
Filed under: uncultured bacterium
Lineage: Bacteria
Description: bacterial SSU rRNA
Rfam family: Bacterial small subunit ribosomal RNA
Source: RNAcentral